GACGCGGUGGCCUAAUGGUUAGCGCGCUGGACUCCGGAUCGAGCGGUCCGCCGGGUUCAAGCCCUGGCCGGGGUCA
Non-coding RNA from Desmophyllum pertusum, 76 nucleotides. NCBI's taxonomy places the organism in Eukaryota, Metazoa, Cnidaria, Anthozoa, Scleractinia, Caryophylliidae. The record is from the annotation of a GenBank genome assembly.